UGUGAUGAGCCCGCGGCCUAUCAGCUUGUUGGUGGGGUAAUGGCCUACCAAGGCGACGACGGGUAGCCGGCCUGAGAGGGCGACCGGCCACACUGGGACUGAGACACGGCCCAGACUCCUACGGGAGGCAGCAGUGGGGAAUAUUGCACAAUGGGCGAAAGCCUGAUGCAGCGACGCCGCGUGAGGGAUGACGGCCUUCGGGUUGUAAACCUCUUUCAGCAGGGAAGAAGCGAAAGUGACGGUACCUGCAGAGGAGGCCAGUUA
Molecule: ribosomal RNA, 264 nt
Filed under: Streptomyces sp. ksr 03'
Lineage: Bacteria; Bacillati; Actinomycetota; Actinomycetes; Kitasatosporales; Streptomycetaceae
Description: partial 16S ribosomal RNA
Rfam family: Bacterial small subunit ribosomal RNA
Source: RNAcentral